This 253-nucleotide ribosomal RNA is filed under the name uncultured bacterium. RNAcentral describes it as "partial 16S ribosomal RNA". It matches the Rfam family "Bacterial small subunit ribosomal RNA", at positions 524 to 776 of the family's 1533-position model. The record is from RNAcentral.
UACAGAGGGUACGAGCGUUGUUCGGAAUUAUUGGGCGUAAAGGGCGCGUAGGCGGUGCGGUAAGUCACCUGUGAAAUCUCCUGGCUCAACUGGGAGCUUGCAGGCGAAACUGCCGUGCUGGAGUGUGGGAGAGGUGCGUGGAAUUCCUGGUGUAGCGGUGAAAUGCGUAGAUAUCAGGAGGAACACCUGUGGUGUAGACAGCUUACUGGACCACUUCUGACGCUGAGACACGAAAGCGUGGGUAGCAAACAGG